Molecule: transfer RNA, 76 nt
Filed under: Chloroflexota bacterium
Lineage: Bacteria; Bacillati; Chloroflexota
Description: tRNA-Ile
Rfam family: tRNA
About the family: Transfer RNA (tRNA) molecules are approximately 80 nucleotides in length. Their secondary structure includes four short double-helical elements and three loops (D, anti-codon, and T loops).
Source: RNAcentral
GGGCCCGUAGCUCAGUGGUGAGAGCAGCGGCCUUAUAAGCCGUUGGUCGCGGGUUCGAUUCCCGCCGGGCCUACCA